AAUGCGUAUGAUAUGCGGAGGAACACGAAGGCGAAGGCAAUCCCCUGGACCUGUACUGACGCUCAAGCACGAAAGCGUGGGAAGCAAACCAGGAAUUAGAUACCCGGUAGUCCACGCCCUAAAACGAUGUCAACUGGUUGUUGGUCUUCACUGACUCAGUAACGAAAGCUAACGCGUGAAAGUUGACCGCCUGGGGAGUACGGCCGCAAGGGUGAAACUCAAAAGGAAAUAGACGGGGACCCGCACAAGCGGGUGGAUGAUGUGGUUUAAUUCGAUGCAACGCGAUAAACCUUACCCACCUUUGACAUGUACGGAACUCGCCAGAGAUGGCUUGGUGCUCGAAAGAGAGCCGUAACACAGGUGCUGCAUGGCUGUCGUCAGCUCGUGUCGUGAGAUGUUGGGUUAAGUCCCGCAACGAGCGCAACCCUUGUCAUUAGUUGCUACAUUAAGUUGGGCACUCUAAUGAGACUGCCGGUGACAAGCCGGAGGAAGGUGGGGAUGACGUCAAGUCCUCAUGGCCCUUAUAGGUGGGGCUACACACGUCAUACAAUGGCUGGUACAAAGGGUUGCCAACCCGCGAGGGGGAGCUAAUCCCACAAAGCCAGUCGUAGUCCGGAUCGUAGUCUGCAACUCGACCACGUGAAGUCGGAAUCGCUAGUAAUCGUGGAUCAGAAUGUCACGGUGAAUACGUUCCCGGGUCUUGUACACACCGCCCGUCACACCAUGGGAGCGGGUUCUGCCAGAAGUAGUUAGCCUAACCGCAAGGAGGGCGAUUACCACGGCAGGGUUCGUGACUGGGGUG
Molecule: ribosomal RNA, 802 nt
Filed under: uncultured bacterium
Lineage: Bacteria
Description: bacterial SSU rRNA
Rfam family: Bacterial small subunit ribosomal RNA
Source: RNAcentral